AUUGAACGCUGGCGGCAGGCCUAACACAUGCAAGUCGAGCGGUAGAGAGAAGCUUGCUUCUCUUGAGAGCGGCGGACGGGUGAGUAAUGCCUAGGAAUCUGCCUGGUAGUGGGGGAUAACGUUCGGAAACGGACGCUAAUACCGCAUACGUCCUACGGGAGAAAGCAGGGGACCUUCGGGCCUUGCGCUAUCAGAUGAGCCUAGGUCGGAUUAGCUAGUUGGUGGGGUAAUGGCUCACCAAGGCGACGAUCCGUAACUGGUCUGAGAGGAUGAUCAGUCACACUGGAACUGAGACACGGUCCAGACUCCUACGGGAGGCAGCAGUGGGGAAUAUUGGACAAUGGGCGAAAGCCUGAUCCAGCCAUGCCGCGUGUGUGAAGAAGGUCUUCGGAUUGUAAAGCACUUUAAGUUGGGAGGAAGGGCAGUAAAUUAAUACUUUGCUGUUUUGACGUUACCGACAGAAUAAGCACCGGCUAACCCUGUG
Molecule: ribosomal RNA, 484 nt
Filed under: uncultured bacterium
Lineage: Bacteria
Description: partial 16S ribosomal RNA
Rfam family: Bacterial small subunit ribosomal RNA
Source: RNAcentral